CACGUAGGGUGCGAGCGUUGUCCGGAAUUAUUGGGCGUAAAGAGCUCGUAGGCGGCUUGUCGCGUCGACUGUCGAAAACCCGCGGCUCAACUGCGGGCCUGCAGCCGAUACGGGCAGGCUAGAGUUCGGUAGGGGAGACUGGAAUUCCUGGUGUAGCGGUGAAAUGCGUAGAUAUCGAGAGGAACACCUGCGGCGAAGGCGGGUUGCUGGGCUGAUACUGACGCUGAGGCGCGAAAGCCAGGGGAGCGAACGGG
Molecule: ribosomal RNA, 254 nt
Filed under: uncultured bacterium
Lineage: Bacteria
Description: partial 16S ribosomal RNA
Rfam family: Bacterial small subunit ribosomal RNA
Source: RNAcentral